GAUGAACGCUGGCGGCGUGCUUAACACAUGCAAGUCGAGCGGAGCACAUCGUUGGAAUCCUUCGGGAGGAAGAAGGUGUGGCUUAGCGGCGGACGGGUGAGUAACGCGUGGACAACCUGCCCUAUGCAGGGGGAUAACAUCCGGAAACGGGUGCUAAUACCGCAUAAGCGCACAGUACCGCAUGGUACGGUGUGAAAAGCUGAGGCGGCAUAGGAUGGGUCCGCGUUGGAUUAGGCAGUUGGCGGGGUAACGGCCCACCAAACCGACGAUCCAUAGCCGGCCUGAGAGGGUGGACGGCCACAUUGGGACUGAGACACGGCCCAGACUCCUACGGGAGGCAGCAGUGGGGAAUAUUGCACAAUGGGGGGAACCCUGAUGCAGCGACGCCGCGUGGGUGAGGAAGUACUUCGGUAUGUAAAGCCCUAUCAGCAGGGAAGAAAAUGACGGUACCUGACUAAGAAGCCCCGGCUAACUACGUGCCAGCAGCCGCGGUAAUACGUAGGGGGCAA
RNAcentral lists this ribosomal RNA (509 nucleotides) under uncultured bacterium. Its description in RNAcentral is "bacterial SSU rRNA". It matches the Rfam family "Bacterial small subunit ribosomal RNA", at positions 28 to 537 of the family's 1533-position model. The record is from RNAcentral.